This 292-nucleotide long non-coding RNA is filed under the name Homo sapiens (human). RNAcentral's name for it is "HSALNT0116066". The record is from RNAcentral. Lineage: Eukaryota; Metazoa; Chordata; Mammalia; Primates; Hominidae.
UCCUAAAGACAAAGCCCAACCACGUUGCACCAGAAAUCACUCCGCUGGCUCCCCCAGAGAGUGCACGGAGGCUUCCUCCUACAUGGUAGAACUCAGGCAACACUCGAGCAUCCGUUUACCAUUGAAGGCGGCUGCAUCAGUGGGAAUUUCCAUGGCUUUUCAUCCCAGCAUCGAAGCGUGUAGAUGUCUGGCCACAGACUCCUUACCUUGUUCAUAUCUUUGCCUUGUUACCUUCGAACUGUGAUGUACAAAAGUACAUCAUACAGGUUGGGUUUUUUUUCCGAAAUUCCCU